Molecule: long non-coding RNA, 350 nt
Organism: Bufo gargarizans (Asiatic toad)
Lineage: Eukaryota; Metazoa; Chordata; Amphibia; Anura; Bufonidae
Exons: 4
Source: RefSeq, a predicted model, not a curated record
AAACUCACUAGAAAGGCGGCCUGCAAGGCCAGUACCGGCCAGCGACCGACUGGCAUCCCCGGUGGAGCGGCGGCCGUCCUGUGCCUGGAACCCAUGAUGUCUCGGUGGGGAGAGAAGGAGAACAAUCUGUAGUCGCAUCGUCUGGUACAGUCACACCUGUCUGGAGAAGAUUCACAGCACACCAAAGUACGCAGAAACAACAUGGACAAUCAAAAUGGCUUUCUCCCAGAAUCUUGGACACAGAUGUUCCUCAAACAAAAGCCUCUUAUACCUGCCGUUAUACAGCUUGUCACAGCCAUAGUGAUCAUUAUAGUUGGAUGCUUUGGGGAAGUCCAUGUGGGAACACCAUG